Molecule: long non-coding RNA, 627 nt
Organism: Cynoglossus semilaevis (tongue sole)
Lineage: Eukaryota; Metazoa; Chordata; Actinopteri; Pleuronectiformes; Cynoglossidae
Exons: 3
Source: RefSeq, a predicted model, not a curated record
GUUGUGUCUUAUGGAGUUCUGCCAGGCUCUCUGGUUGGAGCGAUAGUAAGGAAACCUCUUCAUGAUGAACUCGUAGAUCCCAGAAAGAGUCACCCGCUGAUCUGGACUCUGCUGGAUGGCCAUGGCUAUCAGAGCGAUGCAGGUCUGCACAUCUUCUUGUCGUCGUCGGUGCUGGAUGAAGGAUAACCGUCUCCAUCGUAGUUGAAGCAGUUGAAGGGAUAGUGAGCGUUGUCAAACAUGUCUGCUCUUGGAGGACACUCAUGUAUUUACUGGACUGAAUGUUGUGUACGUCUCCUCCGUGGCCUGGUGCGGCAGCAGCAGCAGAAACUCCUGCUGUGUGUCCUGCUGCUCUGCUCUGCCUCCAUGCUCUGCUCAGAUGACUCUCACUGGGCGCUGAGCUGGUGAUGAUGAAGGUGGUGAUGAAGACGGAAGCUCCUCCUCCUGUCCCGGCUGCUCUCCAGGAAGUGUCUGGAGGUCUCCACGGUCUGGAGGAACACCUCCCUGCUUCAGUCAUUUGUGAACCACAGCCCUGGGAUCUUUACAGGGCACUUGAAGGUCUCCCGUGAGGCGACAGAGGCCGGGAAAACAGCCCCCAGCCGUGACAGGACUCUGUGGGUGGCCCUGCUG